Molecule: unclassified non-coding RNA, 163 nt
Filed under: uncultured Chaetomidium
Lineage: Eukaryota; Fungi; Ascomycota; Sordariomycetes; Sordariales; Chaetomiaceae
Description: sequence contains ITS1
Source: RNAcentral
AAGAGUUGCAAAACUCCCAAACCAUUGUGAACUUACCCUCAACGUUGCUUCGGCGGGUUGGCUCCGGGUCUCCCGGGGGCCCCCGGCCCUCACGGGCGCCCGCCGGAGGUAUCUAACUCUUGAAAUUGUAUGGCCUCUCUGAGUCUUUGUACUUAAUAAGUCA